AGAGUUUGAUCCUGGCUCAGAUUGAACGCUGGCGGUAUGCUUAACACAUGCAAGUCGAACGGUAGCAGGCCUUCGGGCGCUGACGAGUGGCGGACGGGUGAGUAACGCGUAGGAAUCUGCCUCAUAGUGGGGGACAACGUGGGGAAACUCACGCUAAUACCGCAUACGCCCUACGGGGGAAAGCGGGGGAUCUUCGGACCUCGCGCUAUGAGAUGAGCCUGCGUUAGAUUAGCUAGUUGGUGGGGUAAAGGCCUACCAAGGCGACGAUCUAUAGCUGGUCUGAGAGGACGAUCAGCCACACUGGGACUGAGACACGGCCCAGACUCCUACGGGAGGCAGCAGUGGGGAAUAUUGGACAAUGGGCGAAAGCCUGAUCCAGCAAUACCGCGUGUGUGAAGAAGGCCUUAGGGUUGUAAAGCACUUUCAAUUGGGAGGAAAACCUACCGGUCAAUACCCGGUAGCUUGACAUUACCUUUAGAAGAAGCACCGGCUAACUCCGUGCCAGCAGCCGCGGUAAUACGGAGGGUGCGAGCGUUAAUCGGAAUUACUGGGCGUAAAGCGUGCGUAGGCGGUUCGUUAAGUCAGAUGUGAAAGCCCUGGGCUCAACCUGGGAACGGCAUUUGAAACUGGCGGACUAGAGUUUAGUAGAGGGGAGUGGAAUUUCAGGUGUAGCGGUGAAAUGCGUAGAUAUCUGAAGGAACACCAGUGGCGAAGGCGACUCCCUGGACUAGAACUGACGCUGAGGUACGAAAGCGUGGGUAGCAAACAGGAUUAGAUACCCUGGUAGUCC
This 790-nucleotide ribosomal RNA is filed under the name uncultured bacterium. RNAcentral describes it as "bacterial SSU rRNA". It matches the Rfam family "Bacterial small subunit ribosomal RNA", at positions 8 to 796 of the family's 1533-position model. The record is from RNAcentral.